This is a long non-coding RNA of Mesocricetus auratus (golden hamster), 1088 nucleotides long. RefSeq lists it as uncharacterized. NCBI's taxonomy places the organism in Eukaryota, Metazoa, Chordata, Mammalia, Rodentia, Cricetidae. The record is from RefSeq and is a predicted model, not a curated record. The transcript has 4 exons.
GUGAAAAAGCAAGUCAGGAAGGAGUGGCAAUGACUCUGUGGUCUCUGCUCCGGUUCAUGCCUUGGACUUCCCUGAGGAUGGGCUCCAGUCUCUGCACCCUGCAUUGAAAAGCCAACUCCGACACCACACACCAAUGGGAGAGAGACUCCAAACUCACAUUCACCGUGCCUUCUUGGAAAUGCCGCCGCUGCUGUUUGCUUUCUUUGGUGACACAUCUUCAGAAAUGCACAGGAAAGUAGAGAGUGACCUGAGUUGACAGAUCAGCGCAAUGAUUACAGAGGGUGGUGGCUGCUCUCCAUUGGGACAGAGUGCUCUUUGGGCUGUCUAUGGUGACUGCAGCUGCCCAUCCACAGAUUUAACACGAUCAUCUGAAAAGCACACAGGGGGAAGAGCCAAGGCUAGCGGAAGUCCACGGUGUAAAUGCCUAGAGUUUAUCCCCAGUCCUUUCUCUCAGAAUUUCUAGAGGCUUCUAUUCACAUGGGGAUGCAACAAGCUGUUCAGAAUGCUUAAACACAAAUGUGUACAAACAGCAGUCUCUGCAGUUCUGAAGAAAGUGAAGGGACCUGUCUCUUUUCAUCACACAUACACCAAGUUUUCCAUCUACACACACAAUCUAUUAUUUCAUUAACAUGGUAAGCUUAUCUGUAAUUUACUUACAAAUUUAUUAGUAAAAAUAUCCAUAGUAUGUCCUUGUUUUCCUUGUGCUAAAAUGAAUUAACAUUUAAGGGAGAACUCUUUCUAAAGCAAUUGACUUGUUUAAAUGGGGCAAUAAAAUGGAUUUCUUAAUAGCCAUGCAAUAAACCCUGACUGCCUUAUAAUCUGCCAAGGGCCCUCACAUAUAAUACUGUAUCUGAUUCCCAUGUUGACUUUGUGGAUUAAGUGUAUCUGGUAAGCUAGAUCUACAAAAGUAGAUUGAAGAAGAGAAGGUAAGACCUUCAGUUCCUAAGCAGCUGUUGCACAAUGACUACAACCUACGCUUUGAGACUCUUAGUGAAGAAAGCUUUACCUGCAGCAGUUCUUAGGGUUGCUAUAGCUAUACCACUCCAUAAUAAAAGUCUCCUUAGGACUCCUCCUCGCUCUGCUCUGCC